AGUGAACGCUGGCGGCAGGCCUAACACAUGCAAGUCGAACGGCAGCACAGAGGAGCUUGCUCCUUGGGUGGCGAGUGGCGGACGGGUGAGGAAUGCAUCGGAAUCUGCCCAAUCGUGGGGGAUAACCUCGGGAAACCGGGACUAAUACCGCGUACGACCUUCGGGUGAAAGCAGGGGAUCGCAAGACCUUGCGCGAUUGGAUGAGCCGAUGCCGGAUUAGCUAGUUGGCGGGGUAAAGGCCCACCAAGGCGACGAUCCGUAGCUGGUCUGAGAGGAUGAGCCGCCACGCGUGAGCUGGGACACGGUCCAGACUCCUACGGGAGGCAGCGGUGGGGAAUAUGGGACAAUGGGGGCAAGCCAGAUCCAGCCGUGCCGCGUGGGUGAAGAAGGCCUGCGGGUUGUAAAGCGCUUUUGUUGGGAAAGAAAAGCAAUCGGUUAGUACCCGGUUGUUCUGACGGUACCCAAUGAAUAAGCACCGGCUAACUUCGUGCCAGCCGCCGCAGUAA
This 506-nucleotide ribosomal RNA is filed under the name uncultured bacterium. RNAcentral describes it as "partial 16S ribosomal RNA". It matches the Rfam family "Bacterial small subunit ribosomal RNA", at positions 30 to 523 of the family's 1533-position model. The record is from RNAcentral.